This 434-nucleotide ribosomal RNA is filed under the name uncultured bacterium. RNAcentral's name for it is "partial 16S ribosomal RNA". It matches the Rfam family "Bacterial small subunit ribosomal RNA", at positions 29 to 506 of the family's 1533-position model. The record is from RNAcentral.
AACGAACGCUGGCGGCAUGCCUAACACAUGCAAGUCGAACGAUUGCCUUCGGGUGAUAGUGGCGCACGGGUGCGUAACGCGUGGGAAUCUGCCCUUAGGUUCGGAAUAACAGCUGGAAACGGCUGCUAAUACCGGAUGAUAUCGCGAGAUCAAAGAUUUAUCGCCUGAGGAUGAGCCCGCGUUGGAUUAGGUAGUUGGUGGGGUAAAGGCCUACCAAGCCGACGAUCCAUAGCUGGUCUGAGAGGAUGAUCAGCCACACUGGGACUGAGACACGGCCCAGACUCCUACGGGAGGCAGCAGUGGGGAAUAUUGGACAAUGGGCGCAAGACUGAUCCAGCAAUGCCGCGUGAGUGAUGAAGGACCUAGGGUUGUAAAGCUCUUUUACCCGGGAAGAUAAUGACUGUACCGGGAGAAUAAGCCCCGGCUAACUCCGU